Molecule: ribosomal RNA, 497 nt
Filed under: uncultured bacterium
Lineage: Bacteria
Description: partial 16S ribosomal RNA
Rfam family: Bacterial small subunit ribosomal RNA
Source: RNAcentral
GAUGAACGCUGGCGGCGUGCCUAAUACAUGCAAGUAGAACGCUGAAGGAAGGAGCUUGCUCUUUCCGGAUGAGUUGCGAACGGGUGAGUAACGCGUAGGUAACCUGCCUGGUAGCGGGGGAUAACUAUUGGAAACGAUAGCUAAUACCGCAUAACAGUAGAUGUUGCAUGACAACUAUUUGAAAGGGGCAAUUGCUCCACUACCAGAUGGACCUGCGUUGUAUUAGCUAGUUGGUGAGGUAACGGCUCACCAAGGCGACGAUACAUAGCCGACCUGAGAGGGUGAUCGGCCACACUGGGACUGGGACACGGCCCCGACUCCUACGGGAGGCAGCAGUAGGGAAUCUUCGGCAAUGGACGGAAGUCUGACCGAGCAACGCCGCGUGAGUGAAGAAGGUUUUCGGAUCGUAAAGCUCUGUUGUAAGAGAAGAACGAGUGUGAGAGUGGAAAGUUCACACUGUGACGGUAUCUUACCAGAAAGGGACGGCUAACUACGUG